RNAcentral lists this ribosomal RNA (392 nucleotides) under uncultured soil bacterium. Its description in RNAcentral is "bacterial SSU rRNA". It matches the Rfam family "Bacterial small subunit ribosomal RNA", at positions 26 to 386 of the family's 1533-position model. The record is from RNAcentral.
AGGACGAACGCUGGCGGCGUGCUUAACACAUGCAAGUCGAGCGGUAAGGCCUUUCGGGGUACACGAGCGGCGAACGGGUGAGUAACACGUGGGUGAUCUGCCCUGCACUCUGGGAUAAGCUUGGGAAACUGGGUCUAAUACCGGAUAUGACCACAGUGCGCAUGUGUUGUGGUGGAAAGAUUUUAUCGGUGCAGGGAGUCGGGCCCGCGGCCUAUCAGCGUUUGGUUGGUGGGGUAAGUCGGCCUACCGAAGGCGACGGACGGGGUAACGCCGGACCUGGAAGGACGGGUCGACCGGACCGACGACGUGGGACUAGGACGACACCGGCCCAACGACUUCCGGACGGGGGCAGCGAGUAGGGAAUAGUUGUACGAAGUGGGACGGAAGCCUGA